UGCUCUUGUGGCCUAGUGGUUAGAGUGUCUGCCUUGGAUGUGGGAGAUUGUGGGUUUCAAACCCCAGCCAAGUCAU
This is a non-coding RNA of Potamilus streckersoni, 76 nucleotides long. The record is from the annotation of a GenBank genome assembly. Lineage: Eukaryota; Metazoa; Mollusca; Bivalvia; Unionida; Unionidae.